RNAcentral lists this ribosomal RNA (301 nucleotides) under uncultured bacterium. RNAcentral's name for it is "partial 16S ribosomal RNA". It matches the Rfam family "Bacterial small subunit ribosomal RNA", at positions 509 to 807 of the family's 1533-position model. The record is from RNAcentral.
CAGCAGCCACGGUAAUACGGAGGGGGCUAGCGUUGUUCGGAAUUACUGGGCGUAAAGCGUGCGCAGGCGGUUCGUUAAGACAGAUGUGAAAUCCCCGGGCUUAACCUGGGAACUGCAUUUGUGACUGGCGAGCUAGAGUAUGGCAGAGGGGGGUAGGAUUCCACGUGUAGCAGUGAAAUGCGUAGAGAUGUGGAGGAAUACCGAUGGCGAAGGCAGCCCCCUGGGCCAAUACUGACGCUCAUGCACGAAAGCGUGGGGAGCAAACAGGAUUAGAUACCCCUGUAGUCCCUGUCUCUUAUAC